AAUGAACGUUGGCGGCGUGCCUAACACAUGCAAGUCGAACGCUAGUAGCAAUAUUAGAGUGGCGCACGGGUGAGUAACACGUAGCUUACCCACCUCCCAGCGCGGGAUAACGGUUCGAAAGACUGCUAAUACCGCAUAAGCUCACGGCCUGUAGAGGGCUGCGAGAAAGGCGCAAGUCACUGGGAGACGGGGCUGCGGCCCAUCAGCUCGUUGGUGAGGAA
This 221-nucleotide ribosomal RNA is filed under the name uncultured bacterium. Its description in RNAcentral is "partial 16S ribosomal RNA". It matches the Rfam family "Bacterial small subunit ribosomal RNA", at positions 29 to 259 of the family's 1533-position model. The record is from RNAcentral.